This is a non-coding RNA of Cyanistes caeruleus (blue tit), 4338 nucleotides long. Lineage: Eukaryota; Metazoa; Chordata; Aves; Passeriformes; Paridae. The record is from RefSeq and is a predicted model, not a curated record.
AUAAGAUUUUUUAAAAUUUACAUCCACUGUGGUUGAGACUCUUAGUAUUUCUACAGGUGCAGUUCCAGGAUGCUUCUAAGCCAGUUUAACACUGAGCUGAAAAUGAAGGGGACAAUUCUGCUCUUUCUUACCAAUACACGUCUUCUGGAGAGAUGAGUCAGGUGGCUUCUGAGAUGAAACUUUAUCUUUUUCAGAGUUAUUUUUCCAUUGGAUCAGUCCUACUACCAUUAUGGAAAAAAGAGAACUAUGAAAGACAUCAAGGUGUAAGGCAGAAAACAUUACUUUAGAUGGUGAUAUGCCACUGAAUUACCUUUCUUUAACAUGAAAUCACAAAGUCUGGUUUAAGGAGAAGGGCUGAAAUCUGGAAAAUACCACAGACUCCUAAGAAGUGAGUGAAGGGGAUAUCUCAAGAGAGGAAUUGAGCUACAUAUUAUAUAGUCUAUUCAAAGGUUUUUUUUGCUUUUGCAAUUCAUUCCUAACUCUCCAUGAACAAGCAAUACAAUGCAACAUUUUUUCCUGUUGGUCUUUGAAAUCUGACAGAGAAUAAGAAGUACAAGAUAUCCCUUAGCAACACAGCUAUGAUGAGAAAUCGUGUUUCCUUAAAACAUGAACAGACUUUCACCUCAGCAGGUUACACUCUCAAGCACCAGCUGCAUGGGUCAGCGCACACAUUCAUCUACCAUGCUGAGAAAAGAACUUCUAAAGAUUAUUUGGAAAACAAUAAGAGAGGGAGAGAGCAGCUAGUAUGGAUGUGUGCCCUCACAGCUGCCAGAGAUCAAAUGUGCUGCUCAGUGUGCCUUGGGUGAAGGUGCUGUGACAGACCAACAUGGUUUUCUGCUAGUGGUCCUGAAGACUAAACCUGACACCAGUGAGAUACUCUGGGAGUCCAGCCAUCAUUUCUCCUCAAGGCAGCUCUUGACCUUGGCCCAUGAUGGAAACUCAAACAAAGAUAACAUAUGUGCACAACCACAAGCCAGGUAACAGUCUCCUUGCAGCCCUUUCUCUGCUAAAUGAUGCUUAAUGUCUUUCAUUUUACUUGCACAAUCUUUAUGUCCAGGUUCCUGCCUAUUCGAGGAAUCACAUUCUCCAUAAAAUAAGGUAUUAAGAAAAGUAUUCAAGCCUAAAAGCCCUUUCCAUUUAAGAGACUAAUGUCAACUUAUUAUCCAUCAUAAAAAUCCAGAUCACAAUAUGUUUCUUCUCUCUACUUUGGUGAAAAAAUACAAGUUUCUGGUCCUAUAAGCAAUGCUGAUUUCCUCAGAAAAUGAGGAACAAUGACAUUUAGUUAAAAGCGUGGACAGGAGUUAGAGGAGUCAAUUGAAAGAACAGAAUUGAGCUGUAGGGAAUUUUCUUAUUUGGUAUUUUAGUCCAAAAUUGAACUUAAAUAAAUAACUGAACAGCUUCCCAACUAAGGCAACUUCCAGGAAGUUCUCUGGGAAAGAACUGUCCUGAAAACUGACAGAGCCAAAAUUUACACUUGGUUGACUACUCUCUGUAGCAGUGACAUGGGGAUUGCUCUGGAGAAGGCUCACCAGGCAGAUUGCUCCAUGGCCAAGGAACCAUGUGUCCAGGCUCUCCUACAAAUCUACAUGGUCAAACCAAAAUAUUUUGAAUUUUAAAAACAGCAUUUCCUAUCUCUCUCUAGCCAGCAAGUCCUGUUGCUUUGCUUGCUUAGAUGGAAUUUCAUAUUUUCAGUCAUUGAACAAGAUUUUAGAUUGUUUGGCUUUUUGUUGGCUUUUUUCAGUUCUUUAGAAAGGUGUGAUUGGAUUAUUUCUGUUUUAAAAAUACACAUCCAAAGAAAUGUAUUAAUUAAAACAUGGGAGAGACAGCAGACUGCGCAAAAUGACAGAAUUGGGGAAUAAAGGAGAUAGAGACGAUUCAACAUGAACAGCAACCUCACCUGCUGAGAUAGCUGAGGUCGCCUAGAAUACAAUGGCACCAGAGGACAACUGGAAGUUCUUUGGAAGCUGACAAAUGACUACAUCCCAUGGACAACACUGUCAGCUGGACUCCCCGCUUGUGCGGGAAUCGGUUGCAACGGGAUAAAGUUUAAGUCUCUCCUUCAAUUAACGGUUAAGCACAAAGAAGAAAAUCACUACAGGCAGGAACUGCCCUAUGGAGGAGAAGCUGUAGACAUGAGAAGAAGAUUAAAAAGUAGCCUGAAAUAAGUUGGUGCUAUAAAUUUUUUUAAAGAAACACAUAUCUGAAUCCUACACAGAAAUGUGAAUAUAGCUCAGCAAAUGAUGCAUCACCCUCAUCUUAGCUAAGUUAUAUGCCAGAUGACACAAGGAAAUGCUGAAAUAUAGUGUCUAGGACACCAGUUCCAAGGAUGCAUUGAAGAACCCAGAAAGGUUAUUUUCAAAAUUAGCCCAGAUAUUAUACAGGAGAGAAAGGGAAAAACACAUAGAAAAGCCCUUGCAAUAUUGCAAUGUACAUGGAGGAGGCAAAAUGUAUUGUAUCUGAGAUGUUACUGAAAUGAAAAAGACAAAACCUGAUGAGAUUUUCUAUAUAUUGUAAGAAAUGUUUAUCAGUUUUGGAGAUUAUUUUAAAGAGAAGAGCUUUUCAGCUUUUCAGCUGGUUCGAGGGUUUGCCAACUCAAAAGUCUACACCAUCUCAUUUUUGAAAUAGAACUCAGAAGGACCACUGUGAGUAAUGACUGCUAAAAGAGCUAAUUGUCCAAUUUAUCUAUAGAAGCCUUUCAGGGGACUAAAAAAUAAUAAUAGCAUUCCAUAUGGAAACAUCUCAUUUGAUUAUCUCUAGUCCAUAGGUUUAUAAAGGGGAAAAUGUCCUAAGUAAAUAAGGACCCGGAGCAAUGACCUAAAAUUCUGAAAAUAUUGAAGUUUGUGCUCCCAGAAUAAUCAAAUUUCAGUGGAAACUGAAACUGAAAGAUUGGUUUGGCUUCCUUCAGCAAAGUGUUUCUAUCAGUCUUUAUAGUAAAAACAGCUUUUACUUUUGCCCGACUAAAAAAUCCCAACACCUGAUUACCCAAUUACCUGAGAUUUCCUUGUGUUCCUGGUUAUGGCAAAUCCAUGCAAUGGGGCAGGGAUGGAUUAGUUCAGCAUGAGCUAAUUCCAGAGUCAUAAUGGCCAAGAGGCACACUACAGAGAUACUCACGGGAAUUUACUCGUUCAAGUUGGUCUAAGCUAACAGGUUAUUGGCUUUUAUUUCAUUAUAACAGGUUGUUAUGCCAGAGGAUACCUUUAUGGAGAAUUCAUGUUGAUGGUGUUCCCAAGCUGAUCAUGAGAAUCAAAUUAUUCUCCUUCAGCCUUUACGCUAAAUUUGUCACCAUCCAUUUUUGGCUCACAAACAAAUAUGAGGCUAUUCUGUAGUGCAACAUCCAGGAGUAAGAAGAGCUCUCUGCAACUUUUACAUGACUCUGGAAAUAAGAAAGGAAGUUUUCUCAGAGGAUGUAGGUCAUAACUAUGUCCCCUACCAUCUGGUCCUUGAAACCCAGUAAAGGAGGCUGAAUAUAUUGCAUUCCAGCACUCUCAAUUGACAGACAGUCCCUCAAGGACUGUAACUAACUGGUGAAGUUUCAAACAACCUCCAAACUUUUCUAAAAACCACUAGAGCUACAGAAGUCUUAUAUUGGCUGGCUCAGUAGGAAACUAUAAACUCAGUAAGAAACUGCAUGAACUUCCUUCAUCUGCUUCCCUUUUAACUGCAGCUCUGAAACGACUAUUAUAAAGCUGAGGAACCAGCUCUUUUGUUGUCAAGAUAACUACGGACCAAAUCAGCAAAAUAAAAGCCUUGUGUUUUCAGACAUACCAUUUUGACACUGGUUGCACUGUAUGAACAUAUGUAUUAGGGUACAUCCUUUCAUAUAGCCAGAAAAUAACUCACUAGGCAUUUGAUGCAAUGUGUACUAAUAACAUCAAUAUUUCAGCUAUUUUUAAAGAUGCUUCCUAGAGAAAAGUAAAGUACUGAGAAGCAGCAGCAGCAGCAGCAAAUGACCCUUGCCAUGCAUGUGCACGCAUUUAUGUAUUGCUAGCUGUCAAGACAAGAAAGCUGAUCUCACAUCAAAAGGAUUCCCAGAGAGUGCUGGGGAGGGGGGAAAAAAUCCCAAAAAGAAACCUCUUACUCCUUCACUGCUCCCUUUCUUUACUUACAAACCAAUAAACAAAACACCGCAGUGAGUCAGUUAAUGGCCACUUAUCUGAAACCAUGAAUAAGAAAUUUAAAAAAAUCCUUUUGCUUCCCUCUUACCCUCAUGAUCCAUAUUCUUGGCUCUGCAAGCUUGGCUCUGCUUCUGAUGACAAAUGACACAGUUGUAAAUAGCAGUCCUUGUUAUCAGGACAGAUCCAUAUCACCUCUAUUUAAUAAAGCAAGAGUUGUAGUUAC